This 1051-nucleotide long non-coding RNA is filed under the name Homo sapiens (human). Its description in RNAcentral is "HSALNT0025524". The stretch from base 963 to 1051 matches the Rfam family "Y RNA", at positions 1 to 83 of the family's 96-position model. The record is from RNAcentral. Lineage: Eukaryota; Metazoa; Chordata; Mammalia; Primates; Hominidae.
AAAAAAAAAAAAAACGCCUUCCCCAAGUGUCUCCAGAAGGCUGAUUUGAAGCUCCCUUUCUCUUCCUCCUUCAGCUGACCUAUGAUUAUUAAACUUUCUCUGCUGCAACUCCCACUGUUUUGGUGUUUUGGUCUGCUACCACUCCAUGGGCAAUUGAACCCUGUGGGCCUGUAACAAUCCUCCUGCCUCAGUCUCCCCAUAGGUGGAAUUACAGGCCUGUGCCACUGUCUCUUGCUCUUUUACAACAGAUUUGACAUAAAUGGUUAUCAUCUGAAUCUUGUAUCUUUGGGACAUAGAAUGGGGUUUCUUAAUAAGUAAAUAUGACUAUGAAAUUAAAGAACUAUGUGAUUUAAUGAAUAAUUCAAUUGCACUGAACACAGACAUUUAAAAAUGUAAAAUAAACAGCCCAGUUUUAUUUACGUUCCUCAUUCUAAUCUCUUCUUUCAGAAUAAACCAAGUUUUGACCUACUCUAUGCUUGGUUUUGUGCUUUCUACUGUAGAUAUGUGAAAUAGUCAAUUACUGCUUCCAGAACACCCUCAGGGAGAAGUAGCGUAUUUCAAGAGUAAGUUGCUGACUCAUAUCCACCAUAUUUGCAUACUUGACCCUCGUGGGUAGUUUUGAGGUAAACCUAAAAGUCUUUCUUUUUUACAGAAAUUCCCUUGAAGUCUGUCUUACCGCAUCAAAUAAGGAUUCUUAUCUCCUCUUUCAGCGCAAAUAGGUUUUGUCUUCUGUCUUUUGAAGAUGUGAAAACAGUUACCUGGUUGCACUAGACAUGGCACCUACUAUUACGUUAAAAAUCACGGUUGUAAACUUAAGAAAGGAAUUCUUCAGCUUUUCAAAUGCGGGAAUAUUGAAACAUCUGCACACUUUGACUUUCAGGAAAUUGUCCUUGCCAAGACUGUACACUAACUAUGCUGACUGGAUAAUUAUAAAACAUAUACAUGCAUCAGUAAAUUAAAUUGGCUGGUCGGAGUGUAGUGGUGUUUACAACUAAUUGAUCACAACUAGUUACAGGUUUCUUGGUUCCUUCUCCACUGCCACUGCUUCACC